RNAcentral lists this ribosomal RNA (253 nucleotides) under uncultured bacterium. Its description in RNAcentral is "partial 16S ribosomal RNA". It matches the Rfam family "Bacterial small subunit ribosomal RNA", at positions 524 to 776 of the family's 1533-position model. The record is from RNAcentral.
UACGUAGGUGGCGAGCGUUGUCCGGAAUUACUGGGUGUAAAGGGCGUGUAGGCGGGGCUGCAAGUCAGAUGUGAAAUACCAGGGCUCAACCGUGGGGGUGCAUCUGAAACUGCAGUUCUUGAGUGCUGGAGAGGGAAGCGGAAUUCCUAGUGUAGCGGUGAAAUGCGUAGAUAUUAGGAGGAACACCAGUGGCGAAGGCGGCUUUCUGGACAGUAACUGACGCUGAGGCGCGAAAGCGUGGGGAGCAAACAGG